AUUGAACGCUGGCGGCACGCCUAACACAUGCAAGUCGAGCGGUAGCAGGUCUAGUAGCAAUACUAGAUGCUGACGAGCGGCGGACGGGUGAGGAAGACGUAGGAACUUGACCUUUAGAGGGGGAUAACCAAGGGAAACUUUGGCUAAUACCGCGUAGACUCUGAGGAGGAAAGUUGCCUUAGAGAGAUCUGAGGUGACGCUAGAGGAGAGGCCUGCGACCGAUUAGCUAGUUGGUGAGGUAAGAGCUUACCAAGGCGAUGAUCGGUAACUGGUCUGAGAGGACGACCAGUCACACUGGGACUGAGACACGGCCCAGACUCCUACGGGAGGCAGCAGUGGGGAAUCUUGGACAAUGGGGGCAACCCUGAUCCAGCGAUGCCGCGUGGGUGAAGAAGGCCUUCGGGUUGUAAAGCCCUUUAGGUUGGGAAGAAGGAUACGUGGGGAUAAUCCAUGUAUUUUGACGGUACCGACAGAAUAAGCACCGGCAAACUCUGUGCCAGCAGCCGCGGUAAAAC
This 515-nucleotide ribosomal RNA is filed under the name uncultured bacterium. RNAcentral's name for it is "bacterial SSU rRNA". It matches the Rfam family "Bacterial small subunit ribosomal RNA", at positions 29 to 526 of the family's 1533-position model. The record is from RNAcentral.